UACAGUUUGAUCCUGGCUCACAACGAACGCUGGCGGCAGGCCUCAUACAUGCAAGUCGUGCGAUUAAAGCCCCUUCGGGGGUGUAUAGAGCGGCGAACGGGUGAGUAACAGGUGGAUAACCUGCCUCUUGGUGGGGAAUAACAGCUGGAAACGGCUGCUAAUACCGCAUGUGGUUGCCGGGUCCCUGGACCUGGCAAAGAAAGGCGCUUCACGGCGCCGCCAAGAGAUGGGUCCGCCUCCCAUUAGCUAGUUGGUGAGAUAAAAGCCCACCAAGGCUUCGAUGGGUAGCCGAACUGAGAGGUUGAUCGGCCACACUGGAACUGAGAUACGGUCCAGACACCUACGGGUGGCAGCAGUAGGGAAUAUUGCGCAAUGGGCGAAAGCCUGACGCAGCCAUGCCGCGUGAGUGAAGAAGGUCUUCGGAUUGUAAAGCUCUUUUCUGAGGGAAGAACCCUGGCAGAGGAAAUGCUGCCGGACUGACGGUACCUCAGGAAUAAGGAACGGCUAACUCCGUGCAGCAGCCGCGGUAAUACGGAGGUCAGCGUUGUUCGGAAUACUGGGCGUAAAGGAGCGCAGCGGAUGGGUCAUUUGAAUGGAAUCCCGG
This 604-nucleotide ribosomal RNA is filed under the name uncultured bacterium. RNAcentral describes it as "bacterial SSU rRNA". It matches the Rfam family "Bacterial small subunit ribosomal RNA", at positions 1 to 605 of the family's 1533-position model. The record is from RNAcentral.